This is an RNA transcript of Neofelis nebulosa (Clouded leopard), 1102 nucleotides long. It is a transcript of the gene named cystatin F, with no coding region annotated. The record is from RefSeq and is a predicted model, not a curated record. Lineage: Eukaryota; Metazoa; Chordata; Mammalia; Carnivora; Felidae. The transcript has 5 exons.
AGGCAGGCAGCCCCCACCCCGGCCUGGGGGCGGUUUGCAGGGCGGGGCCCCCCCUGCUCUCCAGCACUGGGCACCGACUACCCCAGUGCUCACCGCUCUCCACGCAGGCAGCCAUGCGGCAAGCCCGGGAGCUGCUCGCCUUCUGCUGCCUGGUCUUGAGCACCACCGGGCGCCCUUCGCGAGUUCUGUGCUUCUCUCUUUCAGAUUUUUGUGCCCAGACCCUUAACUCAGAUGUGAAACCAGGAUUUCCUAAAACAAUAAACCCCAAUGACUCAGCAGUCCUCAAAGCAGCCAGACACAGCGUUGAAAGGUUCAACAACUGCACAAAUGACAUCUUCUUGUUCAAGGAGUCCCACAUCAGCAGAGCCCUGGUCCAGAUUGUGAAGGGUCUGAAGUACAUGCUGGACAUGGAGAUUGGCAGAACUUCUUGCAAGAAGACCCAGCACCCUAGUCUAGACAACUGUGACUUCCAGACCAACCACACCUUACAACGGAUGUGAAAUUCUUCAAAACAACUUGGGGCAGGAGGAGAGCUUAAUAAGGAAAAUGCACACACACACAGACUUUCAGUUGCUACUCUGAAGUUUGGGUCAUCCCCUGGCUCCAGAGGUUCGAGGUGCCCGUCCUCCACUGUCAGUGACUUCCACCUCACAGCAAGACUGCACCUGUGCUGUUUACUGUGCUCAGUCACAGCCCUGUCCUGGCUGUCACAGACCCUUGGACCUUCUAGAGGAGCUCAGCAGUGAGCAGAAGUGCCCACAGGUUCACUGCAAAGUAGCCAGAGUGGAAUAAAAAGAUACUGCCCCUGGCUAGAUUAUUUCACAUUUUUUUCUAAACUUCAUUUUACUAAUGCUGUGUCCCAGACAGAUUUGGGGUCUGGACACACAGGAGCGAGUCCUCUGGUGGGAAUUUUUCAGGUUCUGGACCCCUGAGCAAGCCCAAUUACCCUGUGGUCCCACGCUCACCAAUGAAAAGCCCAGAGAUCCAUCCCUCUGACUGAAUAACUGUUACAGCACUGGGCAGAGGACCCAAGUCUGCUAUUAAGCACCUUUGCCCUUUCAUGGAUGAAUAAAGUCAUGAAUAAAUAGGAAUAAAGAACUGA